This 33-nucleotide non-coding RNA is filed under the name Trypanosoma brucei brucei. Lineage: Eukaryota; Euglenozoa; Kinetoplastea; Trypanosomatida; Trypanosomatidae. The record is from RNAcentral.
AUACUUUGCAUCAGAUAAGUCAAUGAAAUUAUA